UUCCAUGUACUCAUAAACAAGUAUCAUCUCAUACCUUUCAUCACAAUACCCAAUUAAGGAAACAAGGUGUCGAUGACGAAUCUUUGACAAAACCAUUAUCUCAGUCUGAAAUUCAGGUAGUCCUUGACCUGACCCUGGCUCACUUCUUUUCACUGCAACACUAACUCCAUUCCUGAGAACUCCCUUAUAAACAAUUCCAAAACCACCCUUUCCAAUUAUCCUCUUUGCAUCAAAGUUAUCCGUUGCGAAUUGAAGAUCAAGCAAGGGGAUUUUCAAUCCGAGGUUUAUGUUAGGUAAAGGGGAGCCUUGAAUUGCUGUUGCAUCAGUUAAUCUGCUGUGAGAACUCCCUCCUCUGGCAGCUGGAAUUGGCAACCAUUCGGAAUUUUCAACAGGCCUUUGUUUCCUGAUUUUACUAAUCCAAAGAAACAAAACCACCACAACCAAAACCAAAACUAAACCUCCAACAACCGAACCCACCACCACAGGAAGACUAACCUUCGAAUCCAUAUCAUCCGGGGGAAUUUCACUAGAUUGUUCAAUCACUUCCAUUAGUUCUAGCCCAUUUAAAAAUGCAUUCGGUAUGGCAGAUUUGUUCGUAUCAGUAAUAGGUACAACUGUAACCUUCAACAUCCCAGAGCCAUCGGAUUGAACCACGAAAUCAUAAUAAUAAGGCAUCUGUAUUGACAGGCUAGUGUCAUUAUUGAUAUAUACAACAUAACUGUCAUAAAUGAAGAGAUUGAAAGUUGUAAGAGCAGACUGUCGAUCACUAAAAAUGUCACAGAAAUGAAGCCUGAGGAAAUGAUCUACAGUUUUUUGCACAGGAACACUCCAACUUAUGUUUAAACCUUUUGAACCGUUUGCACUCUCUUGGCCAGUUUUAUAAACAAUAUCUGGACCAAUAUAUAUACUUGAAUUUGGACCAUCAGAUUCAUCAUUUGCAGCGUGUUUAAUAUCACCAAAGGAACCAAUCUUCGCAUUUUGUGGAUUAGUUAUGUAUCUGUCAUCUCGUAACCAUUCUCUUGAUAAUGUAUCGGCUUCUCUAGUGACAUUAUCACCGCCUACGUUAAGACGAUGUUUCGUUUCCAAAGCUCGUUGUGAGUUUAAACCGCCACUAUAAUUAGAUAAGCCUGGAGAACUAGAUUCUUUGUAAGUAAAACGCAACACUGAAUCAGGGAUUAAAUGAACGGGGAGCACAAAGAGUUCUAUUGCGUUAACAAAUGCGAGUGAUGAUUUUUGAGGUGUGAAAGUGAUUUUGAAUCUUUUUCUGAUGAUUUGAACGUAGUAUUCUUUUACUAAAGGAGAGUUGGUGGUGUUUUCAGCGUUGAAAUUUUGUAACAGAAUGAAACCAGGAACUGAAACAGUGAAUUUUGCAGUGGAAAGUUUAGUUGGUGUAGAGAAUGAAAGGAAAUGGAAACGUACCAUAUAGGUGUUGUUUGGGAUGGUUUUGAAUUCGUACCAAGAUUCGGAACGGAAAAUCCUUGCAGUUUGGUAGAGAGAUGAAGGAACUGAUGAUUGAUUUGUUUCUAUGGAGCUUUUGCUGAAACUUGUUAUAGGGUAAAUAUGAUGUUGAGAUUCUCCUAUAUAAACUUUGUUACUUUCAUUAGUAACAUUGUUGUGUGAUCCACAACUGAUGAAGUAACCAUGUUCAUUGUAUCCGAUGGAGGGGAAGUAUAAUGAUGAGAAUUGAAGAAGAAAAAUUAGUAAAAUGAUAGACUGUUGAAUUGUCAUUGGGAGAGAUGUAAGUAAACUAUGUUUGUGUUAUGAUUUUUUUAAGCUGUGAUGACUGCUAUUCAUAGAAGUUAGUACAAGUAGGCAGUGAUUGGGUUUCAGUGCAGUCGAAAUCCACUGCAGUUAUAUAGUCAAUAAGCUCGAGACCAUUGAUCAAGAUUGGAUGGAUAAUCCAAAUUUAAAACUCAGUACUUUAUAUUAAACAGAAAUCAAAAACUAUUUUGAGAUUUGAACCGUCCGAUAAAUAUUGGACGGUUCUGAGGUGCCGACUGCACCUGACUGCAUAAUAAUGUGACUGCACUUAAUCCAAUUUCAAGUAGGGAGGGAGAAGCGAAGGAGAACCAAUAAAGAAUGGAGUUAGAUAAGAGGAAGACUUUAUCUUUCAAAAGUAGAAGACUUUAUCUAAGGGGAACCAAUGUGGCCUGUGGUUCUUUGAAUUUUCUUCUUCUUUGUUUGUUUCUCCUUUUAAUUUUUAUUUAAUAUUGGAAGUUGAUUUAUCAAUGGAACUACGUUUGAGUAUGGAGAGCAGAAAAAUCUAUAUCGAACGAUAAAAUUUGCCACAAAUUAGAAGUGGAUAACUUAAUGACUAUUUGCAGGUAAAAUAAAUGGAUAUAUCAAUUACUCAUUACUUAAUGGACAUGAAUUUUGAUUUAAUAGUGUAUGCAUAUGCGAAUAUCUGUAUUCGUUAUUAAACUAAAUAAAUUAUAUAAAUAUUAUUAUUUAUUUUCCACUUUGGUUAAAAGACAUACACAUUUUUUUACGAAAGUUGAUGAACUUUUUGUUGUUUACAAAUAAAAUGUAUAGAUAUUGUUAUAUAUGGAUUUUAUUAUUGGCAAUUUCUACAGUACACUUACAAAAAUUGAGUGUACCGAUACACUCAUAUAUUAAAUGAGUAGUUUAAUAAAUAUUUUUUUCUUAGAAAAAAAUUUAUUUUCUAUUAGUUACAAUUAUAAUAAUUAUAUUUUAUUUUUCAAAAGUGUCGGCAAAUCAAAAUUUAAAUUUUUUUAAUUUUUAAUACUCAUAUUGUUGAAUAUUGAUUUUUUUUUGGAUAAAAUGUUAAAAAAAUUAGUAUGAUUUUUAUAAAUGAUGAAAUGAUGUUUUUUCUUAUGAAAUGAUAUUUUUUAAAAUAUAAAAGUCGAUAAACAUCUCUUUAUUACAUAAAAAAGAUUAUUAACUUAUUGAAUUAUGAAAUAGGUGUACCGGUACACCUUAAUUUAAAGGUGUACCGUUUAUUAUUAUGUUUUACUAAAAAUGAUUGGUUGGUUGGGAGGAUAGCCAUAGACGCACUUGUGCUAAUAACUUAUUUAUUUAAAUGCUGCUGAAAAUGAAUUAAGAGGCUGCUAAUAAUGCAGCCAAAAUAAGGCACUGGAGUAGAGUCUAAAUAUCUCUCCCGGGGCAUGGAAAUUUCCAAAGUGGCAUGAUUUGUCGUGACGUUCUUAUAAUGGAAUGGAGAAUAAUUUUGUGGUUCCAAAUCUAAUUGUCUAUAGUAGGGUGCGUUUGAUAUGUUAAAAGGUAUUAACAUGAUAAAACAACACAAAACAUAAAAGCACAAAUCAAAAAAAUAUAAAUUUUUAUGAUAUUGAAUAAUUUUAUUAUAAAUUUUUGUCGACAAAAGACUAUUUUGGUGUUUUCGACAAUAUAUAUUUGAGACAAAAAGUUGUGCUGUUAUUUAGUAAGAGACAUAGAGAAACUUUAAGAUCAAACAUUGUACAAGACAAAAUUUAAUCAAUAUCAUAAUAUUGUCAUAUCAAAUCGUACUAAAUAAACUUUGUUAGAUUUAAGUUCCGCCUUGUCAGCAAAAUUUAAAAUCUAGAUUUGAUCUUCUUAAAAAUCAGACCUGAAUUGUUAGCAUACUUAAAAACUUAUUUCAUAUACACAUAUUUAAAUAAAUAAUAUAGUCUAUGUUUAACAACUAGAUUUCAAAUUCCCUCAAAAAAAAAAAAAAACUAGAUUUUAAAUAAAUAAUAACGGUCUAUGUUUGACAACUAGAUUAAUAAGCUAAUAGUCUAAUGUGAAUGAACUUCACUUUGAUAUUUAACAUGAAAUUUGAGCAAGUCUGAAAACGUAUAAUAUCGCAUUUCAAUUCUAAUUUAUAAUAAUAUUCUUGUUAGCUUAACUUAGUUGGUAGAGUUAUUUGAUAUUAUAUGUAGGGUUAGGAUUCGAACCCCGGACACUCCAAUUCUUUACAUUUAAAAUAUAUGAGCUCUAUCUACUAAACUACUUAAAAAAAUAUGAUAAAAAAAUUAAUGUAGAUUAAUAAGAUGAAGUCACAAUAAAGUUAGUAAAUUUCCUUAGAAAAAAAAAAUAGUAAAUCGAUAGCUUUAUCUAAACUUCAAGUCCUAAUAUGAUAAUAGUAGUAAUGACAAAAAUUGAUUCAUAUUUUCAUUUUUUUUUAGAAACUAUUUGUAUAUUCUUAAGUAGGCUGGUAGGUAUAAUAGACUUCUUUUUACGUUAAUCAGGUAUCCUUCGUGCGCAACUGCAGAGACUGAUCUCUUGAAUUUUGUAAGACCCAAAUGGAGGACAAAUUAUCUAACUUUUUCGUUAAAUAAGUUUUUUUUUCAAAUUAAUAUUAUCUAUUUAAAAAUAAAGUCCGACUUAACAUAAACCUAAUGUAAACUAUAAUGUAGCUUCAUGUUAGUCAAUCUAGAUUAUUACCACCUCUAAUGAAGGUGAGAGAUGGAUAUUUGUACUUGCAGUGAGUACAAUAUCUAAAACUAGGAUUUAGUUUGUUUAGGUAUGCUUUGAGAAUGAUCUCAAGGUGGAUAUUUAUAGCUCUCUUGAGCUUAUGUUUUCCUGACUUAGACCCUAAGUAAAUUAAGCCUUAAGUCAAGAAGUGUACGUACUAAAUGCUUCUAAAUUUAUUUUUGUAUUUAUUAAAAAAAAGUGAAAAUUGAUUUUGAUAUUUCUUUUGUUUUUGUUUUUCUUUGUAUUUCUAUUCAUCCCAACAAUAUAUUAUUUCUACUCUAUUUUUUUGUCUAUUUCUCUUAUCUUAUAUUUCUCCGUUUUCCACUUCACUUUUAUAUUUCUUUCACACCCAAACAUAGUGUUAGAGAAAUGUAUCACUAUAUUUUUCUUCUUCAUUUUUUUUAUAAUGAAAUGGGAUGCUGAUGACUCCACAAUAUCCUAAGUGGGUUAAAAUUAAAUUAGAAAGAGUAAAAAGACCAUUGAGGACAUAAAACCUUGCCAAAUAUAUAAAAGAAAAAAAAAAGAAAAAGAAAAACCAAAUGGGUAAAACAAAACAACCCUAGAAACCACAAAUCCCAAAACAAUCGAUCGCACACUACUAGCACAAUCUAGCACACUUGCGUACAAAUAUAAAACCAAAUUGCAAAGAAAAUAAUAAUAAAAAAAAAAAAAUAGAGGUGUGUGGUGUAGCCAGUGGAUCCAAAUCUUGAUUACACAAGUGUAUCUGAUCGCCAACACCUAACGAAUCCAAGCACCUAAAGUAUAGUGUCAAACAACAGCAAACUCACGUCCAUUUCUAGCCACGACCAUUUAUAGUCUAUCAAUCCAAUACAUCAGAGACGGGUCAGAUUAAGAAACAUAGGUACCUUCGAUACAUAAAUGUACGCAGUUUCUACCAUCUUUUAUCAUUGAUUAAUCAUUAAAUCUUCAUGGAAGAAUGUAUGAGACACACAAGGUGUAGUUCCCCCUUUAAUCGAAUUUUCUCUAUAUGCAAGAGUCAAGGAUCCAUGUCUGUCGCUAUUUGCAUUAAUUCAUUUUUUAUUAUUUUAUUUAGUUUUUGACAAUGUGCGUUAAUCCAUUAUUGUAUCUUAGUUUCUCUCUUAACUUUGCUCACCUGCAAGUAGGAAAUGGUGAUGGUGAAUAAAACAGAAUUGCAAUAUAGGUAGGAAUUAGUAACAUCACAAUCCACAAGGUGAAACCAAAUGAGGUGUAUAGCAUUUCUGUUCACAUAAACAAAUACCCUAUUUGUGCUCAUUGAAUUGAACUGGUUUGAAUUCAUCAUUCUGGCCUUCUGACCAAAUGAGGAUAGAAAGGAAUGUAUUCAAUAGUUGCUAGGUCAACAGACUCUUUUCCUUUGUAAAAGGUAACUGAUUUGUUGAAAGAAAAAUCCAUCAUCUAAAAUUAUUAAUCAAUCAUGUUAAUCACCGGAAACAUUUGAUCAUUUUUAGUUAGACUUAACCUUAAACAACGAUCCACAAUAUAUAAUUAUUCACGUAUAAGUCCAAUAUUGAAUUAAUAAUCCAACAUAAUUUGCAUGCCAGAUGCCACUGAUACCUUAAAAAGGUGAAGGAAACAGAAUCAUAUACUAGUAUAUGGCCUUGCUGGCCAGUGUAGAAUAUUGGUUCAAGCAUUCAAAUAAGUGAUGUAUAUAAUGCAGCUAAUUACCAAUGGUUUAUUGCAAUCAUCAAAAAUAGAAAUCAUCAUUAGUCUUACAAUUAAGAAUAGACCAACAACCAUAACCAAGUAUGAAAAAUACAAGGAAACAAGGACAAAAGAGGGAAGUGAGCCAUCUAAUAAAAACAGCUCCUCCACUUACUUGAGACACUUGUGAGAAAACAUGAAUAUCUAUCUAGCAUCAUCUAUUUUCAACUGAGAGAAAACAGAAUCUGCUGCACUAUCAGAUUCAUCAAUAACUCUACCAAUAGACAUAGACGUGUCAUCCCCUUCACUCAGUGUAGACAGAGAAGGCAAACGGCGAACAUUAGGCAAUUGAAUUGAUACAGAAGCACUGCUAGAACUAUCCUCAUGAGGUUCUCUAUGUACUGCACCUCUCUGAAGCUGCAAAGAAUAUUCCAAGUCCCACANGUUUCUGACGUGGUCUAUUUGUAUUGGAGUAUAACAAAAAGGGCAAUGAUGAUUUAUAUGCUUUUAAACGUACUAACACGCGCCCCCAAUUUGUCAUUAAUGCUUUGUUUGUUUGUCCCCUUUUGAAUUGCAAUCGUUUUUUACUAAAAACACUUAGACAAACACACACUACUCACUUCACAACUCACACUUUCAUUUGCUUUUCAACCUUCUCUACGAAGUAAGCGCAUUCCCUCUAAAACCCUAGAAACCAUUUUCCUCUUCAAUCAAUCAAAUGGCUCCAUCUAGUUCUGCUCCUGGAUCAUUAUCUAACAAGCAACAACAAGAAACUCCAGCCUACGAGAUUAAAGGAAGAACCAUGUCCUUGAAGGGAAUGGGAUUUGAAAAUCCAGAUUGAAUGUCCGGUGGAUUUUAAUUCACUAGCUGCUCACAACUGUGACAUUGGUGAAUUCUACAAUAUUCAAGGCUUGGGAAGUUACUUCAACUUCUUGAAUGGUCCAACUUAUCAAACGCUAGUGCGACAUUUCUGGGUCAAGGCCAGCAUCUUUGAUCGAGAAGCUGCAAAGAUUGAAGAAGAUGAGAAAGUUCUUCUCAAUCUAGAACUGAAAGGAAAGUCAAGAAAAGAAAUGGGAUUGGAACCGUUCUUAAAGACAGAAAUAAGGUCAAGCAUCAUGGGGAUUCCAGUUCGUAUUUCUGAGGAUGACAUUGCUUUUAUUCUCAGAAGGCCAACUACGGGAGAAUACAAAGCUGGUAUUACAAAAGUCAAAGAUAGUCCCUGGAAUGAAGUUGUAAAUCAGACUAUCUACAACAAAGCAACUAAGGGUGCGUAUUCUGAUAUGACUACUCAAACCAGAAUGAUGUUGAAGAUUCAGAACGAAAAUCUGCUACCAAAAGGUGGUGGUAGUGAUCAGCCUUCACUGGAGCACAAGAUCCUCCUUCACUUUUUCAUAACAGGUGUAAAAGGCAAAUGUGCCUAGAUACAUUUUCAGGCACAUGGUACAACAGCUCAGAGAAAGCCAGUUGAAAAAUAGGUGCUGGGUACCCUAUGGAAGGCUUCUCUCUGAAAUCUUUCAUCAAGGAGGUAUUCUCAAUCUUCUGAAGGAAGUAGAUUUCUUCACUGAUGAUCAGCUGGGCACUGUAACAGGAAAAAUCAUCAAUGGAGAAACUUUGAAGUUCAUGCAUUUGAUCAGUGUGAAGGACCAUAAGAAGCUAAGCACAGAUAUGACAGAAUCUGAUGCUAAAUCAGCUAUGAUGACUGAUUUUCCUCCAAUCUGCAAUCAAGACCCUCUGGAUGUUCAUAUGCACUACAUCAGUGAUCAUUUUGAAAGGACUCAGGUCAAAAUCAGCUUGAAGGAAGUACCUGAACAAAUGUAUGGAGGUGCUCUUCCUGUUGCCAAGAGCAGGAAGACAAAAACCAAAGCUUUAACCAAGGAAGAUUAUUUGGUAGAAGAAGCUCCAAGAAAACCUUCCAAGAGAUCUAAGAAAUCUGAUAAGAAUGAUGUUGCAGCACCUAAACCCAAGAGAGGUAAAACUGUCAAGACUGAAGGUUCAACUGUUUCUGCUUCUGAGGAAGUUAUUCAGAAGAAGAGAAACAAAGAACCAGAAGUUCAAGAUGCUGCUAGGGAAGCUGCUCUUCAAGCUAUCAAAAGCAAAAGAGCAAAGGGAGAAAGAAGUGUUCAGGAGAGAAUGAAGGAAGCUGCUGAACAGCUAAGAAGGGAAGAAGCAGAUCCCAGUCUGAAGGAGGCUCAGAAGCCUGUGUCUUUGGAAUCACCUUGCUUUAGACUCACCUUUGAGCAAGAACAAAUGACUAGGGAAUAUGCUGCUAAUGAGUUAGCCAAAAGGAGGCAUAUGGCUGAACUCUACAAGAGAGCUCAAAGCAGCAGGGUAUGAACUGGAUGCUGAGAAAGCUGCUGUGAUUGUUUCUCUUGCUGCUGAGAUUGAAGAACAAACAGUUAAGGAAGGAACUGCUUUGUUAAAACAGGCUCUGAAAGCUAAGAAUGUUUCAGGAGCAAAACCUUUAGAACCAGCAUCAGAAGUUGCUAGAUCAGAUGCUCAACCUUCAGGUAUUUCUUCAGGUCCAAAAGCUAACAUCAAUGUUCAGACUUUUAACUUUCCAUCAUCACCCUCAUCAUCAUCUUCCACUGACUCAGAUGACAUUCCUCUGAGUCAGCACAACAAACAAUGCCUACCAAACUUUAAACCCUCAAAAACAACCUCUUCCAAAACCAUAGAUUAUGAACAAAUGCAAAUCAAUUUCUCUAAACAGAGGAUAAAAAUCUGUGAGAAAUUGCCUGCUGACCAUUUCUUCCAACCACCUAUCAUAGAACCUUUAAAUAUCCAACACCCAGAAAUCAAUUCAACACCACAAAAAGCCUCUGAAGUAGCUUCAGAAGCAGCCACUUCAGAAGACCCCCAACAACAUCAAACCUCAACCCUUCAUAACCUAGAAAAACACUUAGGAGGUGAGAUGCAACCAACACCUACAAAGGCCUCUGAAACAGUCCCUGAAAAGACUGUCUUAGAAAACCAACCUGAAACCUCAACCAUCCCUGAGCAAAGUGUUCCUGAACAAACUGUUUCUGAACAAGUUGCUUUUGACCAAGAGCAAAAUGUUCCUGAACAAGUUGCCUCUGACCUACUCCAAACUAACCCUGAACAACAAACAGAAAAUCUUAACCAAUCACCAACCCACAAUCAAACAACACCUGAGCAACACACAACUUCUGACCAACCAUCUCCAUCUCAUACAACAUCCAUUCCUGAACCUUUAUCCACUCCAGAACCUAUACCCAUCCCAGAUACCAUUCUAGAGUCUGACUACAUUGAUGAAGAGCUUCAAAGGAUCAGUGAUGAAAUUCAAGGAUUUGUUCUUCUCAGAAAAGUACCUUCUCUUUCAAUUCACUAUAUAGAUCAAUGGAUGAAUCUGAAAGCUGGGUUGAAGAAAGAUUUUGAUGAGUUGCUGGAACUAUUAAGUGAAAAAUGCAUAACAACUCAAGCUGAAGUGCUUAAGAAGCAUCUAGAAGAACUUCACUCAGCAGAGAAAGAGAAUGAGCAAGAAUCUCUACUUCUGUUAGCCAAUGCUCCUUUCUUUCCAGAAAGUGAUUAUGUCUCAAGAGGUGACAGAAUUCUUCAAGGGCUGAAAAGGAGGCUUAGGGCUAAGAAUGAAGUUGUGAAUACUCUGGAAGAAGUUGUGAACAAGCAAGCAGAAGAACUCAAGAAUCAGUCUGAGCAAAUCAAGUACUUGAUGGAACAAGUCUCUAAACUAGCCAAACCAUAGUUGCACCUAAUUUUUGCUUGUUUAGAUUUUGUUUUUCAAAUUAGUAUUAACUUGCUCUGAUUGUGUAUCUUAACUUGCUGAUUAUGUAUCAUUCAAAUGCUUCUGAAACAAUUGCUGUUAAUCAUUUAUGCUCUGAUACUUAUAUUAUUUUGUGUAUCUUUACAGUUUUUCUCAUUGUUUGCACUAACUCUUUCUUUUGUUUUAUUUACUUUUUGUUGAUGACAAAAGGGGGAGUAGUUGUAUAGUAUUUUUAGGCUCUGAGCCCCAUUAAUUUAACUUGAUUAAGUAAACUUUUUGCUCUGAACCAUUUUCUAAACUUUGUUUUUUUUAAUACUUCUGAAAUUUCAUUAUCUUGUGCGCAUUUUAUUGAAAUUUAAUUAACGAGUAUAGAACUCAGGGGGAGCUUACAAACCUCACCUUAAAGAUCUAUUAGACUCAGGGGGAGCUUACAAACCUCUUACCUAGUAGNCUAAGUGUCCCCUUUUCCAUGUACUCAUAAACAAGUAUCAUCUCAUACCUUUCAUCACAAUACCCAAUUAAGGAAACAAGAUGCCGAUGACGAAUCUUGGACAAAACCAUUAUCUCAGUCUGAAAUUCAGGCAGACCUUGACCUGAUCCUGGCUCACUUCUUUUCACUGCAACACUAACUCCAUUCGUGAGGACUCCCUUAUAAACAAUUCCAAAACCACCCUUUCCAAUAAUCCUCUUUGCAUCGAAAUUAUCCGUUGCAAAUUGAAGAUCAAGCAAAGGGAUUUUCAAUCCAAGGUUUAUGUUAGGUAAAGGUGAGCCUUGAAUUGUUGUUGCAUCAGUUAAUCUGCUGUGAGAACUCCCUCCUCUGGCAGCUGGAAUGGGCAACCAUUCGGAAUUCUCAACAGGCCUUUGUUUCCUGAUUUUACUAAUCCAAAGAAACAAAACCACCACAACAGAAACCAAAACUACACCUCCAACCACUGAACCCACCACUACAGGAAGACUAACCUUUGAAUCCAAAUCAUCGAAGGGAAUUUCACUAGAUUGUUCAAUCACUUUCAUUAGUUCUAGCCCAUUUAAAAAUGCUUUCGGUACAAAAUCCGACACAUUAGGUUGUACGGUAACAUUCAGGUUCCCAGAGGCAUCGGAUUGAACCACAAAAUCAUAAUAAUAAGGCAUCUGUAGUGACAAACUUGUGUCAUUAUUGACAUUCACAACAUAAGUGUCAUAAAUUAAGAGAAGGAAAUCUGUCAGACCAGACUGUCGAUUACUAAAAACGUCACAGAAAUGAAACCUAAGUAAAUGAUCUACGUUCUUCUCUACAGGAACACUCCAACUUAUGUUGCUAGAACCGUUAAUACUCUCUUUGCCAGUUUGAUAAACCCUGUCUGGAGCAAUAUAUUGAUUUGAAUUUGGACCAUCAGAUGUAUCAUUUGCAGUGCGUGGAAUAUGAACGUCAAAGGAGCGAUUCUUAGCGUUUUGUGGAUUAGUUACAUAACUGUCAUCUGCUAACCAUUCUCUCGAUAAUGUAUCGGUUCCUCUAUCGACAGUUUGGUCACCGACGUUAAGACGGAGUUUGGUUUCCAACGAUCGUUGUGAGUGUAAACCGCCACUAUAAGUAGUUAAGCCCCGACCAGUAGAACCGAUGUAAUUGAAACGUGCUACUGAAUCGGGGAUUAAAUGAAGAGGGAGCAUAAAGAGUUCAAUUGCAUUAACAAACGCAAAUGAUGAUGUUUGAGGUGUGAAAGUGAUUGUGAAUCUUUUUCUGAUGAUUUUAACGUAAUACUCUUUUACUAAAGGAGAGUUGGUGGUGUUUUCAGCGUUGAAAUUAUGUAACAGAAGGAAACCAGGAACUGAAACGGUGAAUUUUGCAGAGGAAAGGUUAGUUGGUGAAGAGAAUGAAAAGAAAUGGAAACGUACCAUGUAAGUGUUGCUUGGAACGGUUUUGAAUUCAUAGGAAGAAUUGGAAAGGAAAAUUCUUGCUGUUUGGUUGAGAGGUGAAGACACUGGUGAUUGACUUGUUACUUUGGAGUUACUUUCGCUGAAUAAUUUUUUCGGGUAAGCAUGGUUUGAUUCACCAAUAUAAAGGUUGUUAUUUUCAUUCACGUCGAUAUCUGAUCCACAAUUGAUGAAGUAUGUGUCUUGAGGAUCGUAUCCGAGUGAGGGGAAUUGUAAUGAUGAGAAUUGAAGAAAAAAAGCAAGGAGAAAGAUAGAGCGUUGAAUUGUGUGGAAGUGAAAGGUUGACAUGGUGAGAGAGGAAAAUUGUGUUUGUUUGAUGAUUUUUUUUAAGUUAUGAAAUUGAUGAUUGCUAUUCAUAGAAGUUGGUAGAAGUAGGGAGUGGAGAAGAGAAGGGGAACCAAUGAUGAAGAAGACAUAGAUAAGAGGAAGACUUUAGCUGUGGACUGGUUAAGUCGUCACCUUUGAAUUUUCUUAUUUCUUGUUUGUUUCUCUCUUUAAUUUUAAAUAUAAAUAAAAUAUUUGAAAGUUGAUUUAUCACCUACCAAUACCAUGACUAUAGUAUAACACACUCUCAAGGUGUCAUUUAAUUUGGGAAAGGAUAGUUCUUUUUCACCAUGGGAAAGUUGAUCAUAUCCAUUAGAUUAAAUGAGGAACAUAUUCCUAUCAUACUCUCUCAACCACUAGAUUAUUUUUUUAUACUAUCUUUCGCACUCCCUCUUUCAUGUCCCCACACACCCAUACCACCACCACUAAAUCACAAAUUCAACAACCACUUUUACCACCACUGCACCACCACACACCACCAUGGUUGCUGCCGAAAAACUUGUUAGCGUACCAUUUUCAAGGAUCAAACAAAAAUUGUCAGUCACAAUUUAUGAUUGCACAGGACGAACACCUUCAGAUAUUGUAAAUAAUACGAAGAUCAUUAAGUCACAAUCACUUGUUCUUGCUUUGAGUUAAUGGCUUUGUUCAGAAUGUCUUCCAGAUCCAUCAAUUGCUUUUAUCAUUCAACAUUGAUGAUAUGAUUAUGACUUUAAUCACUUACGCGUACAUUGUAUUUUAAGAAAAUUUAAUUAUGUUAUAUUUUUCAUAGAUACAUGCGCAGAUCCUGAAAGCUACUAAUUCAUUUCUCUAUUGGAAGUAUCAUACGGUUAUACCUGCUUUUGUUUUUGUUUGAUGUGUUGUUACCUACACCAUCCUAUUAAAUGCUGAAAACCAUUUUCACAGUUCUUGCAACAUUGAGGAGCAUGGGAGAACCUGUUAGAAUGAUCCCUGAGGCACUAUCCAUUAUGAUUCACACCACCCAGAUAAAGAAUUUUGAAGAUCCAUGGCAGAUUUGGUGGUGGUGCGGUGGUGGUCAAAGUGUGUGAGAACAUGAAAGAGAGAGGGUGGAAGAUAGUGUAAAAAAUAAUUUAGUGUUGAGAGAGUAUGGUAAAGAUGUAUUCCUCAUUUAAUCUAAUGGACAUGAUCAACUUUCCCAUGGUGGAAAAGAACUCUCCUUUCCCAAAUUAAAUGGCACCCACUUUGAAACCCUUUCUUUCUCUCUCUUCUCUCCAUUUCAAACCUGGUCAUCACCCCUUUCUUUUUCUUCUAUUUAGAGGGGUGAUUUAGAGUCAAUUUUGACCCAAAAAUCAAUUGUUUUUCCUUUUAUCCUAAUUGAAUAAGUGAUUUCACAUGUUUUCUGUUUUCUUUCGUUUGUUUUUAUGAUUUCGUCAUCUCUGAACAAAUCUAUUUGUUUUGAUUUUCCGUCUUUGUGCGGUGUGUUUUUUAUUUCUCGUCUUAGUGCGGUGUUUAUUUGAUUCAGGUUGAAAGAUUAGUUUUUGAGCAAGUGCAGAUCCGAUCAAUGACAAUGACUUUGACGUCGUCAACGUUGCAGAUCCGAAAACAUGAGCAUUUCGAAGACAUAAAUAUAGUCAUAUUAGUCAUAUUUGUAGGCAUAUGUAAUUUGCCGUUUUAUGCUAUUAACAUGGAUGAUGUGAGUUUGCUCACAGAUUUAUCCUUAUUUUUAGCGAAUUUAGAUUUGUAUUGUAUCGAUAUACUCUAUCAAUAUGAUUGAAUGAAUAUCGUUUAUUUUUAAAAAAAAAUGACUAUAGUAACAACACAUUAAAAAAAAAUGGCUAUAGUAACACUAGAUGAUAUAUGGUCCAAUAUUUGUUUAUGUUUUGGUUCGGCUAAAAGUCCUAUAACUUAUCAAAGGUCUAAAUUAUAAAGUAAAACACAACAUUCUCCCUUAUGGUUAUAUAAGGAGAGUUUCAUCACAGUUUCAAGUAAAAAUUUGUGAGCCUUUUUAAUAGAUCAAGCAAAGGGAUUUUCAAUCCAAGGUUUAUGUUAGGUAAAGGCGAGCCUUGAAUUGUUGUUGCAUCAGUUA
Molecule: long non-coding RNA, 14072 nt
Filed under: Medicago truncatula (barrel medic)
Lineage: Eukaryota; Viridiplantae; Streptophyta; Magnoliopsida; Fabales; Fabaceae
Description: long non-coding RNA (MTRU_LNC002272)
Source: RNAcentral